RNAcentral lists this ribosomal RNA (628 nucleotides) under Planctomycetota bacterium. RNAcentral's name for it is "partial 23S ribosomal RNA". It matches the Rfam family "Bacterial large subunit ribosomal RNA", at positions 1 to 651 of the family's 2925-position model. Lineage: Bacteria; Pseudomonadati; Planctomycetota. The record is from RNAcentral.
GGUCAAGUUACAAAGGGCGCACGGGGGAUGUCUUGGUAUCGAGAGGCGAUGAAGAGCGUGGAAGUCUGCGAAAAGCUUGGGGGAGUCGACAAACAGGUUUUGAUCCCGAGAUGCUCGAAUUAGCGUAUACUGAAUACAUAGGUAUACGUGGCCAACCCAGGGAAUUGAAACAUCUUAGUACCUGGUGGAAAAGAAAGAAAAAUCGAUUCCGUUAGUAGCGGCGAGCGAAAGCGGAAUAGCCCAAACCGAGAGGGUUUCCUUCUCGGGGUUGUAGGGCCAUUCACAUGGGAGUUACAAAGCGACAGCUAGCUGAAGUGUCCAGGAACGGCACACCAUAGAUGGUGACAGUCCAGUAAGCGAAAGUUGAGCGCCUCCCGAAUGGUACCUGAGUAAGGCCAGUCACGUGAAACCUGGUCUGAAUCUGCGGGGACCAUCCCGCAAGGCUAAAUACUCCUCGAUGACCGAUAGUGAACUCAGUACAGCGAUGGAAAGGUGAGAAGAACCCCUGUUAGGGGAGGAUUAGUGAACCUGAAACCGUGUGCUUACAAGCGGUCGGAGCACUAUUAAAAGUGUGACGGCGUGCCUUUUGCAAAAUGAUCCGGCGAGUAGCGUUUGCAGCAGGUUAAGA